This is an RNA transcript of Saimiri boliviensis boliviensis (Bolivian squirrel monkey), 1440 nucleotides long. It is a transcript of the gene named dehydrogenase/reductase 12, with no coding region annotated. The record is from RefSeq and is a predicted model, not a curated record. Lineage: Eukaryota; Metazoa; Chordata; Mammalia; Primates; Cebidae.
CCAGGGCGGGGGCGCCGGGAGCGCGGCGGGGCUCGGCGUGCGGCGCGCCCGGCAUGUCCCUGUACCGCAGUGCCGUGUGGUUGGUCAAGGGGCUGCGCGAGUACACCAAGAGUGGCUAUGAAUCUGCAUCUAAGGACUUUGUCCCUAAUGACUUGGAGGUCCAGGUUCCUGGAAGAGUCUUUUUGGUCACUGGAGGAAACAGCGGCAUUGGCAAAGCAACUGCCCUUGAAAUAGCCAAGCGAGGUGGCACAGUUCACCUCGUUUGUCGAGAUCAAACCCGAGCAGAAGAUGCCAGGAGUGAGAUCAUCCGGGAGAGCGACAACCAGAACAUUUUUCUGCACAUCGUGGACUUGUCUGAUCCCAAGCAAAUCUGGAAAUUUGUUGAAAAAUUCAAGCAGGAACAUAAACUCAAUGUUCUGAUCAAUAAUGCAGGUUGCAUGAUCAAUAAAAGAGAACUCACAGAAGAUGGACUUGAAAAAAACUUCGCUACCAAUACUCUGGGUGUGUACAUUCUCACGACCGGCCUGAUCCCUGUGCUGGAGAAAGAACACGACCCUCGAGUGAUAACCGUCUCCUCAGGAGGAAUGUUGGUUCAGAAACUGAACACUGAUGAUCUCCAGUCUGAAAGGACACCGUUUGAUGGAACUAUGGUCUAUGCACAAAACAAGAGGCAGCAAGUGGUUCUGACGGAGCGGUGGGCCCAAGGACACCCCGCCAUCCAUUUUUCUUCCAUGCAUCCUGGCUGGGCCGACACCCCAGGUGUGAGGAAGGCGAUGCCAGGGUUCCACGCCAGGUUCAGGGACCGCCUGCGCUCCGAGGCCCAGGGCGCCGACACGGUGCUGUGGCUGGCCCUCUCCGCCGCCGCAGCGGCGCAGCCCAAUGGCCGCUUCUUUCAAGAUCGGAAACCAGUUUCUACACACUUGCCUCUCGCUAGAACGUCCUCCUCACUGGCCGAAGAAGAGAAAUUCAUUGAAAUCCUACAACAGCUGGCUCAAACAUUUAAAUAGGCAAACCCAGAAACAACGUGGUAUCAGAAUUGCCUUAGAAAAUACCAGAAGGUGUGGUCUAGGGACCAGUGAACAGACCCAACUUCAACUUCCCCUUGAAGAUGUUGUGCCUUACAGUGAGGGGCCUACAAGGAGGAAGAUGGGCCUCAGCAGUGCUGGAUGUGCGCAAGGCUGUGCUGGCAGCACCGGGACAGGGCAGCUCAGCCACCCCCUCAACGGUGAUUCCGUAACAGGCAGGUCACUUGGUAUCUUUGUACCUGUUUUCCUUCUCCAUAAAAUGAACCCCACAAGUUUUAAAAGAGGCUUUCCCUGGCAGUGUUUGCCCGGAAGUCCUCAUUUGGAAAGUACUAAAUGCAGGAAAAAGCCAACUUCCAUGACAAAGGAAAGGGGCUCCCCGGCCACAGCCCGUAUACGUGCUAGACUAUGGUGAACG